CUGCCGGCGACCGGCGCACGGGUGAGUAACACGUAUGCAACCUGCCCUCCGCAGGGGGAUAACCCGGAGAAAUCCGGACUAAUACCGCGUGGUACAUCUGUGGGGCAUCCCACGGGUGUUAAAAGGAAGCGAUUCCGGCGGGGGAUGGGCAUGCGGCGCAUUAGCUAGUUGGCGGGGUAACGGCCCACCAAGGCGACGAUGCGUAGGGGUUCUGAGAGGAAGGUCCCCCACACUGGUACUGAGACACGGACCAGACUCCUACGGGAGGCAGCAG
Molecule: ribosomal RNA, 274 nt
Filed under: uncultured bacterium
Lineage: Bacteria
Description: partial 16S ribosomal RNA
Rfam family: Bacterial small subunit ribosomal RNA
Source: RNAcentral